AGGGUUUCCCUGGGCCUGGAAGACUUCUGUCCUUGACCAUGACAUCCUCUAUUGGAAAAGGAACGGAGGCUCGGGACAGAGGCUGUAACAGAUGAUGAAAAAGCUGCCUCAAAUGGAAGAAGCACCUUGCCCAAGGUCACGGCCAAGACCUGAACCUGAAUCUGGACUUCAGCCUUAGAGCCCUCUUGCCACUAGAUUGGACAAGAAGAAAACAAGACCAAACCUAACGUUUCCUGCUGGCUGGGGAGCCACUGGGGUAUGCAGAGACAGGUCUCUGUGUCCCUGGCAGGAGGGAAGAGCCUGAGAAAAUAUAUGUUCAAUUAUGCAAAA
Mastomys coucha (southern multimammate mouse) is the source of this 330-nucleotide long non-coding RNA. RefSeq lists it as uncharacterized. Lineage: Eukaryota; Metazoa; Chordata; Mammalia; Rodentia; Muridae. The record is from RefSeq and is a predicted model, not a curated record. The transcript has 2 exons.